Molecule: transfer RNA, 66 nt
Filed under: Anolis parvicirculatus (Berriozabal anole)
Lineage: Eukaryota; Metazoa; Chordata; Lepidosauria; Squamata; Anolidae
Description: tRNA-Cys
Source: RNAcentral
AGCCCCGGAGCCCUUUGGGGCUCUUUUUCAAACUUGCAUUUUGAUGUGGGACACUUCGGGGCUUCA